UUUAGUUAGAGUUUGAUCCUAGCUCAGGAUGAACGCUGGCGGCGUGGAUAAGGCAUGCAAGUCGAACGGACUUUAUUUUACCAAUGGUGCGAUUAUAUCAAAUCAAAGGUUGUUUAAAGUUAGUGGCGAACGAGGUAGUAAUACGCAGGAACUUCCCCCAAAGUCGUGAAUAAUCCGGAGAAAUCCGGACUAAUACACGAUGGUCUCGCAAGAGUAAAGAAUUUCGCUUUGGGAAAGGCCUGUGCGGUAUCAGCUAGUUGGUAGUGUAAAAGACUACCAAGGCUAUGACGCCUAGGGGAGCUGAGAGGCUGACCCCCACCGAUGGUACUGAGACACGGACCAUACACCUACGGGUGGCCGCAGUCGAGAAUCUUCCGCAAUGGGCGAAAGCCUGACGGAGCGACGCCGCGUGAUCGAUGAAGUCUUUCGGGAUGUAAAGAUCUUUUAUGAGGGAGAAAGUUUAUUGAUGUUACCUCAUGAAUAAGGGGUUGCUGAACUCGUGCCAGCAGCAGCGGUAAUACGAGUGCCCCAAGCGUUAUCCGGAAUCACUGGGUGUAAAAGGUGUGUAGGUGGCUGUGUUAGUCUCUUGUUAAACCUCUUGGCUCAACCAAGAAUCUGCGAGAGAUACGGCACAACUAGAGGGCGCGAGAGGUGAGUGGAACUUAUGGAGUAGGGGUGAAAUCCGUUGAUACCAUAGGGAACACCGAAUGCGUAGGCAACUCACUGGUGCGUUCCUGACACUGAGACACGAAAGCGUGGGUAGCGAAUGGGAUUAGAUACCCCAGUAGUCCACGCCCUAAACUAUGUUCUCUAGCUUUUCGGAGUAUCGACCCUCUGAGAGGCGAAGCUAACGCGUUAAGAGAACUACCUGGGGAGUACGGCCGCAAGGCUAAAACUCAAAGGAAUAGACGGGGACUUGCACAAGCAGUGGAUCAUGUGGUUCAAUUCGAUGACAAACGAAGAACCUUACCAAGAUUAGACAUCCAGACGAAGCAUCUAAGAAACUAGAUGCGCCUCACAAGGGCGGCUGGACAGGUGUUGCAUGGCCGUCGUCAGUUCGUGGUUUGAAUUGUUCCCUUAAGUGGGGUAACGAACGCAACCCUCGUUGCCUGUUAUAUUUUGUCAGGCGAGACUGCCCCCCACGACUUCUUAAAAAGAUUUGAGAAGUGGUGGGGGGGAGGAAGGCGAGGAUGACGCCAGGUCCGCAUGACCUUAGAUAUCUUGGGCUACACACAUGAUACAAUGGGCACUACAACGGGUCGCAAUGGAGUAAUCCGGAGCCAAUCCUUAUAAAGGUGUCCUCAGUUCGGAUUGAGGUCUGCAACUCGACCUCAUGAAGAUGGAAUUGCUAGUAAUCGCGGGUCAGCUAUACCGCGGUGAAUACGUUCUCAGGUCUUGUACUCACCGCCCGUCAAGUCAGGGGAGUUGGGGGUACCCGAAGCCUGCCCUCGCGGCAGUCCAAGGUAAAUUCAAUAACAAAGACUAAGUCGUAACAAGGCACGGGUAGCGGAAGCUGCUCGUGGAAUAUUUCAAAA
RNAcentral lists this ribosomal RNA (1535 nucleotides) under bacterium. Its description in RNAcentral is "bacterial SSU rRNA". It matches the Rfam family "Bacterial small subunit ribosomal RNA". The record is from RNAcentral.